CGCAUCGAUGAAGAACGCAGCGAAUUGCGAUAAGUAAUGUGAAUUGCAGAAAUACGUGAAUCAUCGAAUCUUUGAACGCAUAUUGCACUCUCUGGUAAUCCGGAGAGUAUGCCUGUUUGAGGGUCAGUAAACAAACAUUAUCAUAAAUCAUUGAUUUAUGGAAUUGGGCAUUUAUUUCAAUWUMCAAGAUUUAUUGCCUUAAAUUUACGUCGUUAUGAAAUUCUCUCUAAAUGGAGCAAUUAAACAUUCUCGUUUGGUUGGGACAUUUCAUUUACAAAAACUAUUACGAUUUUCACGCGCAAAGACGCUUUUAACAAAGUGGUCUCAGCUACGAUCGUAAGUUAAUUUAACAAAGACCUCAAAUCAGGCAAGAAUACCCGCUGAACUUAAGCAUAUCAAUAAGCGGAGGAAAAGAAACUAACAAGGAUUCCCCUAGUAACGGCGAGUGAAGAGGGAAGAGCUCAAAUUUUAAAUCUAUCUUGUUCUUCAAGGUCGAGUUGUAAUUUGAAGAAGCGUUUUCUUGGAUUUGCAGCCGGUAGAAGUUCCUUGGAACAGGACAUCAUUGAGGGUGACAAUCCCGUCUGUGACCGGUUGCUCGUUCAUCUAUGAUACGCUUUCAAAGAGUCGAGUUGUUUGGGAUUGCAGCUCCAAAUGGGUGGUAAACAUCACCUAAGGCUAAAUAUUGGCGAGAGACCGAUAGCGAACAAGUACCGUGAGGGAAAGAUGAAAAGAACUUUGAAAAGAGAGUUAAAUAGUACGUGAAAUUGUUGAAAGGGAAACGAUUGAAGUCAGUCGUGCUGGCGCGUAAUCAGCCUACGAUUUGUCAAACAAGUAGUGUGGUGAGCCUCAAAACCGCCAUAUUAUUUGUCUGGUUAAUCGUCGGUGCACUUUCGUGUCGGCUGGUUAACAUCAAUUUCAAAUGUCAUAAAAAGGCUGGGAGGGAUGUGGCUCCUUUCGGGAGUGUUAUAACCUUUAGCGGAAUGUGGUGUUUGGGGAUUGAGGAUUGCAACGAAUACCUUUUAGGGCUGUUCCACCUGGUCUCUCUUUGGCAUCUUGGCGGCGACAGCUUGCUGACGUUGUUAAGAGUUGACAUUGAACAGGCUAGAGUGUGGGCAAAUUCGUUAAGGAUGUUAACGUAAUGGCUUUAAACGACCCGUCUUGAAACACGGACCAAGGAGUCUAACAUAUAUGCGAGUGUUC
This 1200-nucleotide ribosomal RNA is filed under the name Entrophospora walkeri. RNAcentral's name for it is "eukaryotic LSU rRNA". The record is from RNAcentral. Lineage: Eukaryota; Fungi; Glomeromycota; Glomeromycetes; Entrophosporales; Entrophosporaceae.